Molecule: ribosomal RNA, 301 nt
Filed under: uncultured bacterium
Lineage: Bacteria
Description: partial 16S ribosomal RNA
Rfam family: Bacterial small subunit ribosomal RNA
Source: RNAcentral
CAGCCGCCGCGGGAAAACGUAGGGUCCGAGCGUUGUCCGGAAUUAUUGGGCGUAAAGAGCUCGUAGGCGGUCUGUCGCGUCUGCCGUGAAAUCCUCAGGCUCAACCUGAGGCGUGCGGUGGGUACGGGCAGGCUAGAGUGCGGUAGGGGAGAAUGGAACUCCUGGUGUAGCGGUGGAAUGCGCAGAUAUCAGGAAGAACACCGAUGGCGAAGGCAGUUCUCUGGGCCGUAACUGACGCUGAGGAGCGAAAGCGUGGGGAGCGAACAGGAUUAGAUACCCCGGUAGUCCCUGUCUCUUAUAC